RNAcentral lists this ribosomal RNA (454 nucleotides) under uncultured Parapedobacter sp. Its description in RNAcentral is "partial 16S ribosomal RNA". It matches the Rfam family "Bacterial small subunit ribosomal RNA", at positions 341 to 792 of the family's 1533-position model. The record is from RNAcentral. Lineage: Bacteria; Pseudomonadati; Bacteroidota; Sphingobacteriia; Sphingobacteriales; Sphingobacteriaceae.
ACGGGAGGCAGCAGUGAGGAAUAUUGGUCAAUGGGCGGAAGCCUGAACCAGCCAUCUCGCGUGCAGGACUACGGCCCUACGGGUCUUAAACUGCUUUUAUGGGGGGAUAAAGUCGGGUAUGCGUGCCCGUUUGCAGGUACCCCAUGAAUAAGGAUCGGCUAACUCCGUGCCAGCAGCCGCGGUAAUACGGAGGAUCCGAGCGUUAUCCGGAUUUAUUGGGUUUAAAGGGUGCGCAGGCGGCCCGUUAAGUCAGCGGUGAAAUGUCGGGGCUCAACCCGGGCACUGCCGUUGAAACUGGGGGGCUUGAGUACGGAUGAGGUCGGCGGAAUGUGACGUGUAGCGGUGAAAUGCAUAGAUAUGCCACAGAACUCCGGUAGCGAAGGCAGCUCGCCAGGCCUGCAUUGACGCUCAGGCACGAAAGCGUGGGGAUCGAACAGGAUUAGAUACCCUGGUA